This 496-nucleotide ribosomal RNA is filed under the name uncultured bacterium. RNAcentral's name for it is "partial 16S ribosomal RNA". It matches the Rfam family "Bacterial small subunit ribosomal RNA", at positions 28 to 506 of the family's 1533-position model. The record is from RNAcentral.
GAUGAACGCUGGCGGCGUGCCUAAUACAUGCAAGUCGAGCGAACAGACGAGGAGCUUGCUCCUCUGACGUUAGCGGCGGACGGGUGAGUAACACGUGGAUAACCUACCUAUAAGACUGGGAUAACUUCGGGAAACCGGAGCUAAUACCGGAUAAUAUAUUGAACCGCAUGGUUCAAUAGUGAAAGACGGUUUUGCUGUCACUUAUAGAUGGAUCCGCGCCGCAUUAGCUAGUUGGUAAGGUAACGGCUUACCAAGGCAACGAUGCGUAGCCGACCUGAGGGGGUGAUCGGCCACACUGGAACUGAGACACGGUCCAGACUCCUACGGGAGGCAGCAGUAGGGAAUCUUCCGCAAUGGGCGAAAGCCUGACGGAGCAACGCCGCGUGAGUGAUGAAGGUCUUCGGAUCGUAAAACUCUGUUAUUAGGGAAGAACAAAUGUGUAGGUAACUAUGCACGUCUUGACGGUACCUAAUCAGAAAGCCACGGCUAACUACGU